ACGUUUUCGUAACAUUUUUAAAAUGGUAGGAUGGAAUGUUUCUGUAAUGUUCGCAGAAACCCCACAAAAAAUGUUCUCAAUACAUUAAAAAAACUUGCCGUUCUCAACGUGUACAAAACAUUCCGAAAUAACGUUUUCAUAACUUAAGGGAAAUGUUAGUAAAACGUUCUGACAACUCAUUUUUGUUAGCUGGGUCUACGCAUCAACAUCUUGUUUUUCACAACUGAGAGACUCUUAUAGAUGGGUCCUAUAAACCUCUCCCACCAUCAACUGCUGUGCAAGACCUCAGUGGCCAAAAUGUCAUAUAUGAGCAAGGUAAGAAGUACUUGAAAGCUUAAAAACAUGUUUUUAUUUUAGUUAAUAUUUUUUUUCUUUCAUCUAGUGUGUUUGCUGCCCAUUACACAACCUGACAAAAUUUGUGAUUAUGACCCUCAAAACCUGGCUGUUGUAGCUGGAUGAUCUGUUGUACUCAUCUGUAUAAAUGGUCGCUAUGACGUCUUCCUGCCAGUGAUGAAUUGCAGACCAUGUCUUGCAUCAUGGACAGCUGAGGUGGUGGACAUGUUGUUUAGUGGUUACUGGCCAGGCACUGUCAAGUUUCAAACCAUAUACCAGGUAGACCUCUUUGCAUCGCUUGAGAUCACUGCACCUGGGCUUUCAAGACAAGCAUUUGUGAAAAUGUUACAACAGCGCUCACAACAAUUUGGAAGGAGUGGUAACAUUUGUGGCAACGUCUUCCAAAAAGCUUUCCUUGAAUGGACAUAUUGUCGUCAUAAAAGAGAAAAACUCUGCGGCAUUGAUCACUUCUCUUGCCCAGCUUGCACCCCAGAUACAGUUGCUGUGUCUGCAGAUGGAAACAGAAAACUAUACAGAUUCAGCAAAACAAAGGGGGCAGAGGAACAACCAUUUUUUGAUGGAGUUUUUCUGGCUAAUGACAAAGAUGUAGCAACAUUUGUUGAUUGUGUUCGUGAGAAGACCAUUCCAGUACAUGGAAAAGGCAUCUGUGGAACAUGAGCAUGGGCUGCAGCCAGGGAGACCUCUAAAAAGACAAACACUAAAUGUGAUGAAGAGGGCCUAGAGGUGGCAGUUUGCAGGCACAGCAUAUUAGGCUGAACAUGCCUAAUAAUUCAGCACUCCUGCAUAUAAGGAGUUUUUCACUUCCAGCCUUCAAAGACAAUUAUAUAUCACUCAUAAAUGAUUAAAUACCAAAUGUGUAGUAUUAUUUUUUUUAUGUCCCUAAAACUGACAGAAAAUGAUAAGGCCUAAGAGAAUUCUUAAGCUGUAAUGAUGAAAAAAAAAAAACAACACACAAUUACUGAUUUUUUUUUUCUUUUUCUUCUUUUUCUGGUGAUUAAAGAGAUAUUAACUCUCUCUCUCUCUCUCUCUCUCUCUCUCUCUCUCUC
This is a long non-coding RNA of Cyprinus carpio carpio, 1400 nucleotides long. Lineage: Eukaryota; Metazoa; Chordata; Actinopteri; Cypriniformes; Cyprinidae. The record is from Ensembl.